Small nucleolar RNA from Gastrolobium bilobum, 95 nucleotides. The record is from RefSeq and is a predicted model, not a curated record. Lineage: Eukaryota; Viridiplantae; Streptophyta; Magnoliopsida; Fabales; Fabaceae.
AUUGGGCAUGUGAUGAAUCUCAUUAUACAAAUGGGUAAUUUGCGUCUGAAUUAAUUACUUUGAUGCUAUAUCACCUUGGAGAACUGAUGCCCAAA